This is a long non-coding RNA of Octopus sinensis (East Asian common octopus), 155 nucleotides long. RefSeq lists it as uncharacterized. The transcript is spliced from 3 exons. Lineage: Eukaryota; Metazoa; Mollusca; Cephalopoda; Octopoda; Octopodidae. The record is from RefSeq and is a predicted model, not a curated record.
CGAUCGGGGUAGCCAACAGGGCUGGACGUGUGAGCGCUUCGACAAGAUAAGGGAAAAGCAGCUGAUAUUUUUAGCGUUCGGGUCGGGCCUCGUGGAAGGGUGCGUUACCACCGGAGAGGUCUGCGUCGACGAAGAAAAGAACCAAGUAUGACUGA